RNAcentral lists this ribosomal RNA (272 nucleotides) under uncultured prokaryote. Its description in RNAcentral is "partial 16S ribosomal RNA". It matches the Rfam family "Bacterial small subunit ribosomal RNA", at positions 524 to 796 of the family's 1533-position model. The record is from RNAcentral.
UACGUAGGGGGCAAGCGUUGUCCGGAUUUAUUGGGCGUAAAGCGUCCGCAGGCGGUCAACCAAGUUUCGGGUGACAGUUCCCGGCUCAACUGGGGAAGUGCUCGAAAAACUGGCUGACUUGAGGGCUUGAGAGGAAAGCGGAACUCCGGGUGGAGUGGUGAAAUGCGUAGAUAUCCGGAAGAACACCGAUGGCGUAGGCAGCUUUCUGGCAAGCCACUGACGCUCAUGGACGAAAGCCAGGGGAGCAAACGGGAUUAGAUACCCUGUAGUCC